CAAUAGCGUAUAUUAAAGUUGUUGCGGUUAAAAAGCUCGUAGUUGGAUUUCUGCCGAGGACGUCCGGUCCGCCCUCUGGGUGUGUACAUGGUACGGCCUGGGCAUCUUCUUGGAAAACGUAUCUGCACUUGACUGUGUGGUGCGGUAUCCAGGACUUUUACUUUGAGGAAAUUAGAGUGUUUCAAGCAGGCCUACGCCUUGAAUACAUUAGCAUGGAAUAAUAAGAUAGGACCUCGGUUCUAUUUUGUUGGUUUCUAGAGCUGAGGUAAUGAUUAAUAGGGAUAGUUGGGGGCAUUCGUAUUUAACUGUCAGAGGUGAAGUUCUUGGAUUUGUUAAAGACGGACUACUGCGAAAGCAUUUGCCAAGGAUGUUUUCAUUGA
This 380-nucleotide ribosomal RNA is filed under the name uncultured eukaryote. RNAcentral describes it as "partial 18S ribosomal RNA". It matches the Rfam family "Eukaryotic small subunit ribosomal RNA", at positions 592 to 976 of the family's 1831-position model. The record is from RNAcentral.